UUGGAGGGCAAGUCUGGUGCCAGCAGCCGCGGUAAUUCCAGCUCCAAUAGCGUAUAUUAAAGUUGUUGCAGUUAAAAAGCUCGUAGUUGAAUUUCGGAACCAAUAUGUUGGUUGUGCCUCGGUACGUACUGGCAUUGUUGGUUUCUCCCUUCUGACGAACUAUGAUGUCAUUAAUUUGGUGUCAUGGGGAAUCAGGACUGUUACUUUGAAAAAAUUAGAGUGUUUAAAGCAAGCUCACGCUUGAAUACAUUAGCAUGGAAUAAUGAAAUAGGACGUUUGAUUCUAUUUUGUUGGUUUCUAGGAUUGACGUAAUGAUUAAUAGGGAUAGUUGGGGGCAUUAGUAUUCAAUUGUCAGAGGUGAAAUUCUUGGACUUAUUGAAGACUAACUACUGCGAAAGCAUUUGCCAAGGAUGUUUUCAUUAAUCAAGAACGAAAGUUAGGGGAUCGAAGACGAUCAGAUACCGUCGUAGUCUUAACCAUAAACUAUGCCGACUAGGGAUCGGAUGAUGUUAAUUUUUUAAUGACUCAUUCGGCGCCUUACGGGAAACCAAAGUGUUUGGGUU
This 563-nucleotide ribosomal RNA is filed under the name Glomeromycotina sp. Its description in RNAcentral is "SSU rRNA". It matches the Rfam family "Eukaryotic small subunit ribosomal RNA", at positions 548 to 1113 of the family's 1831-position model. The record is from RNAcentral. Lineage: Eukaryota; Fungi; Glomeromycota.